Molecule: ribosomal RNA, 389 nt
Filed under: uncultured bacterium
Lineage: Bacteria
Description: bacterial SSU rRNA
Rfam family: Bacterial small subunit ribosomal RNA
Source: RNAcentral
GACGAACGCUGGCGGCGUGCUUAACACAUGCAAGUCGAGCGGUAAGGCCCUUUCGGGGGUACACGAGCGGCGAACGGGUGAGUAACACGUGGGUGACCUGCCCUCAGCUCUGGGAUAAGCCUGGGAAACCGGGUCUAAUACUGGAUAUGACUCCAUGACGCAUGUUGUGGGGUGGAAAGCCUUGUGCGGCUGAGGAUGGGCCCGCGGCCUAUCAGCUUGUUGGUGGGGUGANGGCCUACCAAGGCGACGACGGGUAGCCGGCCUGAGAGGGCGACCGGCCACACUGGGACUGAGACACGGCCCAGACUCCUACGGGAGGCAGCAGUGGGAAUCUUGCGCAAUGGGCAAAGCCUGACGCAGCGACGCCGCGUGAGGGAUGACGGCCUGGU